GCGCUUGUAGCUCAGCAGGAUAGAGCAACCGCCUCCUAAGCGGUAGGUCAUCGGUUCGAUUCCGAUCAAGCGCAUCA
Molecule: transfer RNA, 77 nt
Filed under: Liquorilactobacillus nagelii
Lineage: Bacteria; Bacillati; Bacillota; Bacilli; Lactobacillales; Lactobacillaceae
Also listed under: 1 other name
Description: tRNA-Arg
Rfam family: tRNA
About the family: Transfer RNA (tRNA) molecules are approximately 80 nucleotides in length. Their secondary structure includes four short double-helical elements and three loops (D, anti-codon, and T loops). Further hydrogen bonds mediate the characteristic L-shaped molecular structure. tRNAs have two regions of fundamental functional importance: the anti-codon, which is responsible for specific mRNA codon recognition, and the 3' end, to which the tRNAs corresponding amino acid is attached (by aminoacyl-tRNA synthetases). tRNAs cope with the degeneracy of the genetic code in two manners: having more than one tRNA (with a specific anti-codon) for a particular amino acid; and 'wobble' base-pairing, i.e. permitting non-standard base-pairing at the 3rd anti-codon position.
Source: RNAcentral